UUAUAAAAGAAAAAAUCUCUCAGCUCAGUCGAUCCCCACGAGUAACCUUAUCCAUCCGCCUGCACCACCUCUCCAUUAUCCAGCUGAUGAAGAUCUCGUCGCUUGCCAUCAGCGGACUAAUUCCCAAACCAUUGCGACUGCACUUCUCCAUUAAUUUCUUCCAACUUCUCUUCGUCUGGCGCAGUUUGCCGUUGUGCAGAGUGCGCAGACGCGUUCGUCGCGUUCUCAAGGAUCUAGAUCCUAGACGACCUCUUGGAGUUCAGCGGAGUGUUCUCAAGGGUUUCGGCAAAGAUGACAUGGCCGACGGCUAGAAAACCAUGGCAGAGGUGUUGUAGUUUGGCCCAGUGGAGGAGGCUGUGAGGGAACUCACCGAGUCACCUGCUAGUGGUGAAUGAUUGGAUCUGACUGCCGUGAGAUGAUGUCCUCCUCAUUGUUCUUGCUGUCAGACUACUUUAAAUGUUUGUUGUGCAAAAGCUAACUUGGUGAAUUUUCUCAAGUAACGUCUGGUAACCACAUCAAGUAACGGAGAAACAUAUUCCAGUUGCCAGCAAGACGCCAUUGACUGGCUUAUCACUGUCCCAUUGCUGUCAUGUGGCUCCUCUUUCACAGGCACCAGUUCGCAUGAAAGUUCGCCAGGUAUUUUACUCAUAUUACAAAGACUAAUGACAUAUUUAUUGAAAUUCGAUGCAUUACCUGGUCUGGCUGGUUUUCGUGCCUCAUUGUAGCCAGAAGUGCUUUGGGGUCACUUCUUCCGACGUGGAUUGUAGCAGCUGGGCGUAACUUUGUCGGGCGUCGACUGUGCUCUGGCGUGACUUUGUUGGAAGUCAAAAGAAGCGGCUGGAGGUGGCUUUCGGUGUGGAUGUCGAGUUGCGUGUGCCUUGUUCAAGUCGUCGUGGUUGCCGACUU
Triticum dicoccoides is the source of this 906-nucleotide long non-coding RNA. RefSeq lists it as uncharacterized. The transcript has 5 exons. The record is from RefSeq and is a predicted model, not a curated record. Lineage: Eukaryota; Viridiplantae; Streptophyta; Magnoliopsida; Poales; Poaceae.